UACGGAGGGUGCGAGCGUUGUCCGGAAUAACUGGGCGUAAAGGGCGCGUAGGCGGCCUGAUAAGUAGGGGGUGAAAUCCUGCGGCUUAACCGCAGGGCUGCCUUCUAAACUGUCAGGCUAGAGCACAGUAGAGGCAGGUGGAAUUCCCGGUGUAGCGGUGGAAUGCGUAGAGAUCGGGAAGAACAUCAGUGGCGAAGGCGGCCUGCUGGGCUGUUGCUGACGCUGAGGCGCGACAGCGUGGGGAGCAAACAGG
This 253-nucleotide ribosomal RNA is filed under the name uncultured bacterium. RNAcentral describes it as "partial 16S ribosomal RNA". It matches the Rfam family "Bacterial small subunit ribosomal RNA", at positions 524 to 776 of the family's 1533-position model. The record is from RNAcentral.